AGUGAACGCUGGCGGUAGGCCUAACACAUGCAAGUCGAACGGCAGCACAGUAAGAGCUUGCUCUUACGGGUGGCGAGUGGCGGACGGGUGAGGAAUACAUCGGAAUCUACUUUUUCGUGGGGGAUAACGUAGGGAAACUUACGCUAAUACCGCAUACGACCUACGGGUGAAAGCAGUGGAUCUUCGGACCUUGCGCGAUUGAAUGAGCUGAUGUCGGAUUAGCUAGUUGGCGGGGUAAAGGCCCACCAAGGCGACGAUCCGUAGCUGGUCUGAGAGGAUGAUCAGCCACACUGGAACUGAGACACGGUCCAGACUCCUACGGGAGGCAGCAGUGGGGAAUAUUGGACAAUGGGCGCAAGCCUGAUCCAGCCAUACCGCGUGGGUGAAGAAGGCCUUCGGGUUGUAAAGCCCUUUUGUUGGGAAAGAAAAGCAGCAGGUUAAUACCCCGCUGUUCUGACGGUACCCAAAGAAUAAGCACCGGCUAACUUCGUG
RNAcentral lists this ribosomal RNA (492 nucleotides) under uncultured bacterium. RNAcentral describes it as "partial 16S ribosomal RNA". It matches the Rfam family "Bacterial small subunit ribosomal RNA", at positions 29 to 507 of the family's 1533-position model. The record is from RNAcentral.